RNAcentral lists this ribosomal RNA (85 nucleotides) under Escherichia coli 1-182-04_S3_C1. Lineage: Bacteria; Pseudomonadati; Pseudomonadota; Gammaproteobacteria; Enterobacterales; Enterobacteriaceae. The record is from RNAcentral.
UGGCGGCAGUAGCGCGGUGGUCCCACCUGACCCCAUGCCGAACUCAGAAGUGAAACGCCGUAGCGCCGAUGGUAGUGUGGGGUCU